Molecule: ribosomal RNA, 837 nt
Filed under: Phocaeicola dorei
Lineage: Bacteria; Pseudomonadati; Bacteroidota; Bacteroidia; Bacteroidales; Bacteroidaceae
Description: bacterial SSU rRNA
Rfam family: Bacterial small subunit ribosomal RNA
Source: RNAcentral
GCAAGUCGAGGGGCAGCAUGGUCUUAGCUUGCUAAGGCCGAUGGCGACCGGCGCACGGGUGAGUAACACGUAUCCAACCUGCCGUCUACUCUUGGACAGCCUUCUGAAAGGAAGAUUAAUACAAGAUGGCAUCAUGAGUCCGCAUGUUCACAUGAUUAAAGGUAUUCCGGUAGACGAUGGGGAUGCGUUCCAUUAGAUAGUAGGCGGGGUAACGGCCCACCUAGUCUUCGAUGGAUAGGGGUUCUGAGAGGAAGGUCCCCCACAUUGGAACUGAGACACGGUCCAAACUCCUACGGGAGGCAGCAGUGAGGAAUAUUGGUCAAUGGGCGAGAGCCUGAACCAGCCAAGUAGCGUGAAGGAUGACUGCCCUAUGGGUUGUAAACUUCUUUUAUAAAGGAAUAAAGUCGGGUAUGGAUACCCGUUUGCAUGUACUUUAUGAAUAAGGAUCGGCUAACUCCGUGCCAGCAGCCGCGGUAAUACGGAGGAUCCGAGCGUUAUCCGGAUUUAUUGGGUUUAAAGGGAGCGUAGAUGGAUGUUUAAGUCAGUUGUGAAAGUUUGCGGCUCAACCGUAAAAUUGCAGUUGAUACUGGAUAUCUUGAGUGCAGUUGAGGCAGGCGGAAUUCGUGGUGUAGCGGUGAAAUGCUUAGAUAUCACGAAGAACUCCGAUUGCGAAAGCAGCCUGCUAAGCUGCAACUGACAUUGAGGCUCGAAAGUGUGGGUAUCAAACAGGAUUAGAUACCCUGGUAGUCCACACGGUAAACGAUGAAUACUCGCUGUUUGCGAUAUACGGCAAGCGGGCCAAGCGAAAGCGUUAAGUAUUCCACCUGGGGGAGUACG